Molecule: ribosomal RNA, 207 nt
Filed under: uncultured bacterium
Lineage: Bacteria
Description: partial 16S ribosomal RNA
Rfam family: Bacterial small subunit ribosomal RNA
Source: RNAcentral
CUCGUAGGCGGUUCGUCGCGUCCGGUGUGAAAGUCCAUCGCUUAACUGUGGAUCCGCGCCGGGUACGGGCGGGCUUGAGUGCGGUAGGGGAGACUGGAAUUCCCGGUGUAACGGUGGAAUGCGUAGAUAUCGGGAAGAACACCAAUGGCGAAGGCAGGUCUCUGGGCCGUUACUGACGCUAAGGAGCGAAAGCGUGGGGAGCGAACA